UAGGGAAUCUUCCGCAAUGGGCGAAAGCCUGACGGAGCAACGCCGCGUGAGUGAUGAAGGUCUUCGGAUCGUAAAACUCUGUUAUUAGGGAAGAACAAAUGUGUAAGUAACUAUGCACGUCUUGACGGUACCUAAUCAGAAAGCCACGGCUAACUACGUGCCAGCAGCCGCGGUAAUACGUAGGUGGCAAGCGUUAUCCGGAAUUAUUGGGCGUAAAGCGCGCGUAGGCGGUUUUUUAAGUCUGAUGUGAAAGCCAACGGCUCAACCGUGGAGGGUCAUUGGAAACUGGAAAACUUGAGGGCAGAAGAGGAAAGUGGAAUUCCAUGUGUAGCGGUGAAAUGCGCAGGGAUAUGGGGGGACACCAGUGGCGAAGGCGACUUUCUGGUCUGUAACUGACGCUGAUGUGCGAAAGCGUGGGGAUCAAACAGG
This 429-nucleotide ribosomal RNA is filed under the name Actinomycetes bacterium. RNAcentral describes it as "Actinobacteria bacterium partial 16S ribosomal RNA". It matches the Rfam family "Bacterial small subunit ribosomal RNA", at positions 355 to 776 of the family's 1533-position model. The record is from RNAcentral. Lineage: Bacteria; Bacillati; Actinomycetota; Actinomycetes.